Molecule: long non-coding RNA, 1115 nt
Organism: Hirundo rustica (Barn swallow)
Lineage: Eukaryota; Metazoa; Chordata; Aves; Passeriformes; Hirundinidae
Exons: 3
Source: RefSeq, a predicted model, not a curated record
CAUGUCUGAGCACCAGUCCAUCUUCCAGGGAUCUGCAGUUGGGUGACCCAUGCCAGAGAUGAUGAUCCUCUGCUGAGCUGCUCCAGGAGGAGAGGACACAAGUCCUGCCAGAGGACACACAAACAUCACUGCCAUGUGUCAUCUGUCCUGGUCACCAAGGAAUUUGAUUCCGGUGCCUAGAACAGCUUUUGUGUUACUGGCAGCUCUUCUUUCUGCACCCAUUGAAAUUUAUAAAAAUAAGACAAUGCGAGUGGUGAACUUGUUGGCACUGGUAGCUACAAGCAGCAGUUUUCUUCUAGUCAGAGAAGAGGAGGAAGUGAGGCCGUGAGGGGAAACAACAUGGCAGCACCAGGGUCAGGGGGAAGAAAGGAAGGGGAGGAGGUGCUCCAAGUGUCGGAGCCGAGAUUCCUCUGCAAGCCGUGGGGAGGACAAUGGGAAAACAAACUGUGCCCUUGGAAUGCGUGAAGUUCCUGGGGGAUGCAGAGAUCCACUCACAGCCCGUGGGAAAAGUGCUCACGCCGGAGCGGGGGGAUGCCAGAGAAAGCUGUGAUCCAGUGGGAGACCCGGAUAGAGGGAGAGGGUCCCUGCUUCCAGAGACAGAGAGAGAGGGUCCCUGCUUCCAGAGACAGAGAGAGAGGGUCCCUGCUUCCAGAGACAGAGAGAGAGGGUCUCUGCUUCCAGAAACAGAGAGAGAGAGGGUCCCUGCCUCAAGAGAUAGAGAGAGAGGGUCCCUGCUUCCAGAGACAGAGGGUCCCUGCUUCCAGAGACAGAGAGAGAGAAGGUCCCUGCUUCCAGAGACAGAGGGUCCCUGCUUCCAAACUAGAGCAGUCUGCUCUUUAAGGACUGCAUCCUGUGGACGAGUGAGCCAUGUCACAGCAAUUUUGGGAAGACUUUUUGCCUAUGAAAGGGACCCCAUGGCAUAGCAGAAAAGAGAUUCCUCUCCCAGAGCAAACCCAAAAAGAUCUCAGGUGACAAACUGACCAAAACCCCCAUGCCCUGUCUCCCUGUGCUGUUGGUGGAGAGGAGGGAGGGGCUGGGGAGAGGGUGUGUGGAAGAAAGGUGUUUUAAGGACUUAUUUUACUUUGCAUUUCCUCCUCUGACUGUUAAAAAUAAAU